RNAcentral lists this long non-coding RNA (1072 nucleotides) under Homo sapiens (human). RNAcentral's name for it is "HSALNT0164100". Lineage: Eukaryota; Metazoa; Chordata; Mammalia; Primates; Hominidae. The record is from RNAcentral.
GUCUGCAGGGGUACAGAGGUGAGAUGGUGGAGCCCAGCUUGGCGGAAGUAAUGCAACACGACGGCCCAAUUUGUGCCCUUGGCCCCUCGGGCAGAGAACUCGUCUCCCUGGUGCGGAUUAGGCUCCGUUUUAUCUCCGCUCCUUCAGAGACAAAAGGGGGGCUCUGCAUAGGCGCAUAGCCAUGAGGCAUCCGCGACUCCAGCCUGCGUUGUGCGAACCAGACUGGAACAACAAAUAGUGUGGCUUCCUAGCUUGCUUCUUCACCUGUACCAAGUGGACAGCACCUCCCUCAACGUUGUCCUGAGGAAGAAAUUUGGCAAUGGAUUCAAACAUGCAGCGCUGGGCUCAACACACACAGAGUGAGGGCUAAUGGAUGCUGGAGGAAGACAGGAGUUCAAUGUGCACUCAUUUCACGCUGAUUUCUUCAGGUCCUGGUCUGUGAUGCAUGCUGGGGACACAGCCAAAAUCCAUCCCUGGCCCUGGCUUUUGGGUCUCAGCACCUGGAAGAGCAGGCAGCCAUGGAGCAGCAACACCAGCUAUGAUAGACACAGCAGGAGGACCCUUACCUGCAAGCUGCAGUGGGGUGGGGACUUCAGAAGAGGCCACUUGUGAGCUGGCCAUGUUGGGGGAGCAGACUUUGCGCUCCUGGAGAGCAGGGACUGUGCAUCUGUGCUCACUUCCCAGUGCCGUGGCACAGGGCAGUGACGCCAGGACAGAUAAUGCCACACGCGGCUGCUCUUUGCAGAGUGCUCCCCGCCAGGCACUGGGCUCAGUGCUCUCCCUGCAGGCCUUCUCUCAGCCACGAUCCGAGUCCUGGUAGGUAGGUGCUAUUGUCAUCCCCACUUCUUAUGGAUAGGGAUUCAGGUGCUCAGGGACUGCAUGACAACCAGGGUGUGGGAUUAAGAGUCAGCUUAGAAAUCCAGGGGCAGAGUCUGCCUUGGGCACAAAUGCCUUCAAAGCCAGGUGGGAAUGGUGGCUGCCAGGGUCCCACCAGUGUGCCCUGGGCGACUCCAGGGUGCAUUCGCAUCCUGAUCUGUGUCAGUGAUGCUCCUUGGCACUGGGCAUGCGCAAC